UACAGAGGUCCCGAGCGUUGUUCGGAUUCACUGGGCGUAAAGGGUGCGUAGGUGGCAUGGUAAGUUUGAUGUGAAAGCUCAGGGCUCAACCCUGAAAUGGCAUUGAAUACUACUGUGCUGGAGGUUUGGAGGGGGGACUGGAAUUCUUGGUGUAGCAGUGAAAUGCGUAGAUAUCAAGAGGAACACCAGUGGCGAAGGCGAGUCCCUGGACAACACCUGACGCUGAGGUGCGAAAGCUAGGGGAGCGAACGGG
RNAcentral lists this ribosomal RNA (253 nucleotides) under uncultured bacterium. RNAcentral describes it as "partial 16S ribosomal RNA". It matches the Rfam family "Bacterial small subunit ribosomal RNA", at positions 524 to 776 of the family's 1533-position model. The record is from RNAcentral.